GACGAACGCUGGCGGCGCGCCUCAUACAUGCAAGUCGAGCGAGAACCAGGGCUUGCCCUGGGGAGAGCGGCGAACGGGUGCGUAUCACGUGAGCAACCUGCCUCAGAGACCGGGAUAACUCGAGGAAACUCGGGCUAAUACCGGAUGCCCUCGGUGGAUCGCAUGGUCCGGCGAGGAAAUGGAUUCCGCUCUGAGAUGGGCUCGCGGCCUAUCAGCUUGUUGGUGGGGUAACGGCCUACCAAGGCGACGACGGGUAGCUGGUCUGAGAGGACGAUCAGCCACACUGGGACUGAGACACGGCCCAGACUCCUACGGGAGGCAGCAGUAGGGAAUCUUGCGCAAUGGGCGAAAGCCUGACGCAGCGACGCCGCGUGCGGGAUGAAGGCCUUCGGGUCGUAAACCGCUUUCAGCAGGGACGAAAUUGACGGUACCUGCAGAAGAAGGCCCGGCCAACUACGUGCCAGCAGCCGCCGUAAAAC
RNAcentral lists this ribosomal RNA (479 nucleotides) under uncultured bacterium. RNAcentral describes it as "bacterial SSU rRNA". It matches the Rfam family "Bacterial small subunit ribosomal RNA", at positions 28 to 526 of the family's 1533-position model. The record is from RNAcentral.